RNAcentral lists this long non-coding RNA (508 nucleotides) under Marmota monax (woodchuck). The record is from RNAcentral. Lineage: Eukaryota; Metazoa; Chordata; Mammalia; Rodentia; Sciuridae.
CCAAAAUGGUGAAGGUCAAAGUCAGAAUUUUCACUCAUGUUUCUAGGAAGAUAAAGGUCAUUAUUUUUGUCUACCAUGCUUCUGAACCCAAAAUACCAUUUGUGGGAAAGAGAACAGUGGGGUAGAAACUAUGUAGGACUGUAGGCUCAGGAGUCCCACAUUCAAGUCUUGGUUCUCUAUUAGCUAUAAAGUAUUGCACAAAUUACCUACCAUCUCUGGGUAUAUUAUCACUUUUAAACUGAUGAUAAUACUACCUGCUUCACAGGGCUGUUUUACAGAUUAAAUACCAUAAUGUAUAUGAAGUUCCGAUAUAGUGCUCAGCACAUGGGAAAUACUUAAGAAAUGACAACUAUUUUUUCUACAGUCCCCCUUGUCUUCAGGAGGUAUAUUCUGAGUACCCCAGGGGAUGACUGAAACCAAGGAUUGUAUUGAACUCUCUAUAUAGUUAUUCCUCAGUGUCUGUAAGGAAUUGGUUUCAGGCCCCCUUUCCUCCCCCCAGGAUACCAAA